UAAAUCAAGCGUUGAAGGGCGAUUGGCGGAUGCCUUGGCACUGUAAGACGAUGAAGGACGUGGUAUACUGCGAUAAGUUUCGGGGAGCCGUAUGCAGGCUUUGAUCCGAAAAUUUCCGAAUGGGGAAACCUAACACUUCGUGUGUUACUUUAUACUGAAUUCAUAGGUAUAAAGAGUUAACCUGGAGAACUGAAACAUCUAAGUAACCAGAGGAAAAGAAAUCAAUUGAGACUCCGUGAGUAGUGGCGAGCGAAAGCGGACUAGGCCAGCAACUUAGUUUAGACAAUUUGAAUAGUUUGGAAAAACUAACCACAGAGGGUGAUAGUCCCGUAAAAGUAAUGCUGAUUCUAAGUUCUUGAGUAAAGCGGGACACGUGAAAUCCUGCUCGAAUUUUGGGGGACCACCCUCUAAGCCUAAGUACUCUACAGUGACCGAUAGUGAACUAGUACCGUGAGGGAAAGGUGAAAAGAACCCCUAUUAGGGGAGUGAAAUAGAACCUGAAACCGAUUGCCUACAAACAGUCGAAGCUCUUUUUAGAGUGACGGCGUACCUUUUGUAUAAUGGGUCAGUGACUUAAUUUGUAUAGCAAGCUUAAGCCGAAUAGGUGGAGGCGUAGCGAAAGCAAGUCUUAAUAUGGCGUGUAGUUAUAUGAAUUAGACCCGAAAACGAAUGAGCUUACCAUGAACAGGUUGAAAGUAGGGUAACACCUACCGGAGGACCGAACCAGUUGACGUUGAAAAGUCUUUGGAUGAUUUGUGGUAAGGGGUGAAAGGCCAACCAAAUUCGUAGAUAGCUGGUUUUCCGCGAAAACUAUUUAGGUAGUGCGUUGAAUAAAUAGACUUUUGGAGGUAGAGCACUAAAUGGGCUAGGGGAGAGAAAUCUCUACCAAACCUAAUAAAACUCCGAAUGCCAAAAGUUAUUCCUCAACAGACAGACUGUGGGUGCUAAGGUCCAUGGUCGAGAGGGGAACAGCCCAGAUCACCAGAUAAGGUCCCUAAAUCAUGAUUAAGUGUGAAAGGAUGUGGAGAUUCCUUAACAGCCGGGAGGUUGGCUUAGAAGCAGCCAUCCUUUAAAGAUAGCGUAACAGCUCACCGGUCUAAUAGAGUUUCUGCGCCUAAGAUGUAACGGGGCUCAAAUCAUGUACCGAAUCUGUGGGUGUAUAAAGUUUUCGAAUUUUAUACGCGGUAGCGGAACGUUCUGUAAGCCUGCGAAGGAAUACCCGUGAGGGAUUCUGGAGGUAUCAGAAGUGCGAAUGCUGACAUAAGUAACGAUUAACAGAGUGAAAAACUCUGUCGCCGAAAAUCCAAGGUUUCCUGCGCAAGGUUAAUCCGCGCAGGGUUAGUCGGCCCCUAAGGCGAGGGCGAAAGCCGUAGUCGAUGGGAACUAGGUUAAUAUUCCUAGACCGGAUGGUAGUGACGGACUUUAUAAAUUGUUAACUCUUAAUGGAUUGAGUUGGCUAUGAAAAAGUUCCAGGAAAUAGCUCCAUCAUUAAGACCGUACCCUAAACCGACACAGGUGGAUUAGUAGAGUAUAUGUAGGCGCUUGAGAGAAUGAUGUUGAAGGAACUCGGCAAAAUGCCUCUGUAACUUCGGAAGAAAGAGGGCCUAUUUUUGGGCAACCAUUGAUAGGUGACACAAGCCAGGGAGAAGCGACUGUUUAUCAAAAACACAGGACUCUGCUAACACGUAAGUGGAUGUAUAGGGUCUGACGCCUGCCCGGUGCCGGAAGGUUAAUGCGAUGGGUGUAAGCUCAUUUCUGAAGCCCCGGUGAACG
RNAcentral lists this ribosomal RNA (1773 nucleotides) under uncultured SAR11 cluster bacterium HF0770_37D02. Its description in RNAcentral is "bacterial LSU rRNA". It matches the Rfam family "Bacterial large subunit ribosomal RNA", at positions 1 to 1929 of the family's 2925-position model. Lineage: Bacteria; Pseudomonadati; Pseudomonadota; Alphaproteobacteria; Candidatus Pelagibacterales. The record is from RNAcentral.